Non-coding RNA from Myodes glareolus (Bank vole), 1960 nucleotides. The record is from RefSeq and is a predicted model, not a curated record. Lineage: Eukaryota; Metazoa; Chordata; Mammalia; Rodentia; Cricetidae.
GUCUGGCUGCCCUGCCUAUAAUUCCUACCUGGCUACUGGUCAUUUUAUUACACAAAUAUGUGACAAAUUUUUACAGCGUAGAAAAGCAUUAUCACACAGCACAAAAUGAAGAACAGAGGAGAACAAAGAUGAAGGAAGCAAGAAGAAGUUGAAGCAGAUGAACUUUGGGCAAGGAGACCAAUUGGGAAGAUGCAGCAAUUUGCCAACUUGUGCUGAGGAGGACUUGAAUUAGGACAAUAGAUUGGCAUGAUCUCUCAAAGGAUCUUGGAGUAAAGACAUUCCUUCUGGGCAGCACUAGUAAGAAGAGAGCUAGAAAAUCCUUCAGAUUGUUCUUCAGAAAAUCGUGACAUGACUUCCCGUUCCCCUUGGGGGUGGCGCAAACUCCUGCCACACCAGGGACAAAGCAACCAUGGACUGGACCUUCUCUGAAUGAUUCAAAGGAUUCCUCUUUUGAAAUCCAAUGGAUUUCUGAGCCCCAAAGCUUUGUUUCUUGGGGGAAGAUGUCAAGUCGUGUGAAACAUCUAUCAAACACUGAUGAGAAGAGGAAACUUGAGAAAUUGUGAGAGGAAGAAACAUAAUAUGCUUGAUUCUCUUUCUUUUGAAGAAUUUCCAAGCUAAUGAACUGGAAAAUUUUUGCUGAUAAUUACACAUGGGUCCUCAUGAAAGAGAAUGAAGCGCUCUGGCACGUUAUCCCCACCCAUAUAAAGAAUUUAAAUUAAUCAACUGUUCUUCUGCGUGGGACUUACCUUGGUGAGGGAAUUUCCCACAGAGCACUGGAUACAGAAGCUGGAAUGUAAGGCUCAAAAAAUAUCUAAGAAGAAACUGAAGCAAGUACAUGUAACUUACUAGAUUAACAUUUGUUGGAGAAACUGAGACUUUAAGGGAGAAACGAGUCCAGAGAAAGUGUGUGUGUGUGUGUGUGUGGCUGUUUGAAAUAUUCAAAGCCUUUUAGAAAAUGACAGUCUUGAGAUUAUUGGUAGUUUAGGAAGAAGCCAGUUUUUCUUGAUAUCUAGAAGCAGCCAUAACAUGUAAAUGGAGGACAAAGGAAGUAAAUUACAGUGAUUUACAGUUCAUAGUGUGAAGGGGGAAAAAAGAAAAUAUAACUUCCCAAACUGGAAGAUGCUUGUAACUCCAGCAUUCAGGAGGCCGAGACAGGAGAGUUCUGACGUUGAGGUCAGCCUGGCCUAUGGUGUGGGGAUCAGAGGAGAUCCUGAGUGCAUGUGUAUUAUUGACAUAGCCACAGUCGCAGAUCUAUGCAAGUGGCAAAGCCUUCUUGGGUCAGGCUCAACAUGGACAUUUCCUUGGUCCAUGUCUCUUUUUGGUCUACAAAUGAUUGAACAGUUUAUGUGAGAACUGCCAAGUGCAGCUUCAUCCUCCUGGAUUGUUUACCGCCCGAGAGUACUCAUCUAGAGAAGCCUCCCACCAAGAUUAGUCAACCGUUCCCCACCAUGCCUGAGGUUCCCCUGUGUAGAGGUAGUUAAUCCCCCAUCAGAGUGCACACAGCGCACCUGAUACCAGCUUUUCUGUGCCUGUGUCUGUUCUUUCUUCAUUCCCGUACUAGCUUAAGGUUCCGAACUUUGCAAGACACCGCACUAGGAAAAGCUCAGCCUAAACUAUAGAGAAAGUUGCUUCAUCAGCAAACAUAAUGUUUCCUGUCAUUUGUGUGUGUAUGUGGCAUUUCUCUAGGUCUUUGAAGAAGAAUGCUUAUGCUCAUACCAAACUGGGAUGACACCCGAAGCAAAAGGAACACAUAACAAACUGACAAGGGUUCACUGCUCCAUUCAUUGAAAGAAAGAAGCUUCUCGGUUUCAGGAGGUCCCAUUUAUUCACUGUUGCUCUUGUUGUCUGUGCUACUGGGGCUAUAGACUGUGCUAGAGAGGAAGUGGACUAAUGAGAACACUCAUCCACUGCUGGUGGGAAUGCAAACUUGUGCAACCACUUUGAAAAUCAGUGUGGCGGU